This 497-nucleotide ribosomal RNA is filed under the name uncultured bacterium. RNAcentral's name for it is "partial 16S ribosomal RNA". It matches the Rfam family "Bacterial small subunit ribosomal RNA", at positions 28 to 507 of the family's 1533-position model. The record is from RNAcentral.
GAUGAACGCUGGCGGCGUGCCUAAUACAUGCAAGUCGAGCGAACAGACGAGGAGCUUGCUCCUCUGACGUUAGCGGCGGACGGGUGGGUAACACGUGGAUAACCUACCUAUAAGACUGGGAUAACUUCGGGAAACCGGAGCUAAUACCGGAUAAUAUAUUGAACCGCAUGGUUCUAUAGUGAAAGACGGUUUUGCUGUCACUUAUAGAUGGAUCCGCGCCGCAUUAGCUAGUUGGUAAGGUAACGGCUUACCAAGGCAACGAUGCGUAGCCGACCUGAGAGGGUGAUCGGCCACACUGGAACUGAGACACGGUCCAGACUCCUACGGGAGGCAGCAGUAGGGAAUCUUCCGCAAUGGGCGAAAGCCUGACGGAGCAACGCCGCGUGAGUGAUGAAGGUCUUCGGAUCGUAAAACUCUGUUAUUAGGGAAGAACAAAUGUGUAAGUAACUAUGCACGUCUUGACGGUACCUAAUCAGAAAGCCACGGCUAACUACGUG